UACGUAGGGAGCAAGCGUUGUCCGGAAUCAUUGGGCGUAAAGCGCGCGUAGGCGGCCCCGUAAGUCCGCUGUGAAAGUCAAAGGCUCAACCUUUGAAAGCCGGUGGAUACUGUGGGGCUAGAGUCCGGAAGAGGCGAGUGGAAUUCCUGGUGUAGCGGUGGAAUGCGCAGAUAUCAGGAGGAACACCGGUGGCGAAGGCGGGUCUCUGGGCCGAUACUGACGCUGAGGAGCGAAAGCGUGGGGUGCGAACAGG
RNAcentral lists this ribosomal RNA (253 nucleotides) under uncultured bacterium. RNAcentral describes it as "partial 16S ribosomal RNA". It matches the Rfam family "Bacterial small subunit ribosomal RNA", at positions 524 to 776 of the family's 1533-position model. The record is from RNAcentral.